GCUUUACUGUAGCCUGGAAUUGUGUUCGGGCUUGGCUUGCGCAGGAUAGGUGGGAAGCGAAGAAGUACCCCUUGUGGGGGGUAUGGAGCUAACGGUGAGAUACCACUCUGGCGAAGCUAGAAUUCUAACCUCACACCCUGAGCGGGUGUAGGAACAGUUUCAGGUGGGCAGUUUGACUGGGGCGGUCGCCUCCUAAAAGGUAACGGAGGCGCGCAAAGGUUCUCUCAGCACGCUUGGAAACCGUGCGGCGAGUGUAAAGGCAGAAAGAGAGCUUGACUGCAAGAGUUACAACUCAAGCAGGGACGAAAGUCGGCCUUAGUGAUCCGACGGCACAGCAUGGA
This 341-nucleotide ribosomal RNA is filed under the name uncultured Treubaria. RNAcentral's name for it is "partial 23S ribosomal RNA". It matches the Rfam family "Bacterial large subunit ribosomal RNA", at positions 2098 to 2437 of the family's 2925-position model. The record is from RNAcentral. Lineage: Eukaryota; Viridiplantae; Chlorophyta; Chlorophyceae.